Molecule: long non-coding RNA, 220 nt
Filed under: Olea europaea (common olive)
Lineage: Eukaryota; Viridiplantae; Streptophyta; Magnoliopsida; Lamiales; Oleaceae
Description: long non-coding RNA (OEUR_LNC004823)
Source: RNAcentral
AGGUUCACAGGUAAAGAGAGCAAAUUUAGAUGUCUCAAGAAUUUCUCUCAAGGAUCGAGUCUUUUUAAUCGGUGAAUCGAAACUUGAACUUUCAUCUCGAACCGGCGAUCUUGGUGGGCGAGGAUUUGGACUUUGAGGUGGACUAACAUGACCGAGUUCAUCCUCAAAAUUUGAUGCAUCGUAGAACUCCUCUUGAGAUAUCAAUUUGGACGAAUUUCCU